GUGCCAGCCGCCGCGGUAAUACGGGAGGGUCCGAGCGUUAAUCGGAAUUACUGGGCGUAAAGCGUGCGCAGGCGGUUUGUUAAGCGAGAUGUGAAAGCCCUGGGCUCAACCUAGGAAUAGCAUUUCGAACUGGCGAACUAGAGUCUUGUAGAGGGGGGUAGAAUUCCAGGUGUAGCGGUGAAAUGCGUAGAGAUCUGGAGGAAUACCGGUGGCGAAGGCGGCCCCCUGGACAAAGACUGACGCUCAUGCACGAAAGCGUGGGGAGCAAACAGGAUUAGAUACCCUGGUAGUCCACGCCGUAAACGAUGUCUACUCGGAGUUUGGUGUCUUGAACACUGGGCUCUCAAGCUAACGCAUUAAGUAGACCGCCUGGGGAGUACGGCCGCAAGGUUAAAACUCAAAUGAAUUGACGGGGGCCCGCACAAGCGGUGGAGCAUGUGGUUUAAUUCGAUGCAACGCGAAGAACCUUACCUACUCUUGACAUCCACGGGAAGACUGCAGAGAUGCGGUUGUGCCUUCGGGAAC
This 525-nucleotide ribosomal RNA is filed under the name uncultured Gammaproteobacteria bacterium. Its description in RNAcentral is "bacterial SSU rRNA". It matches the Rfam family "Bacterial small subunit ribosomal RNA", at positions 505 to 1027 of the family's 1533-position model. The record is from RNAcentral. Lineage: Bacteria; Pseudomonadati; Pseudomonadota; Gammaproteobacteria.